GGUUAUAGAUCAGUUGGUAGAGUGCUUGCCUUACAUGUGUAAGGCCCUGGGUUCGAUCCCCAGCAUCA
RNAcentral lists this transfer RNA (68 nucleotides) under Marmota monax (woodchuck). RNAcentral describes it as "tRNA.Val". The record is from RNAcentral. Lineage: Eukaryota; Metazoa; Chordata; Mammalia; Rodentia; Sciuridae.